RNAcentral lists this ribosomal RNA (506 nucleotides) under uncultured bacterium. Its description in RNAcentral is "partial 16S ribosomal RNA". It matches the Rfam family "Bacterial small subunit ribosomal RNA", at positions 29 to 523 of the family's 1533-position model. The record is from RNAcentral.
AGUGAACGCUGGCGGUAGGCCUAACACAUGCAAGUCGAACGGCAGCACAGGAGAGCUUGCUCUCUGGGUGGCGAGUGGCGGACGGGUGAGGAAUACAUCGGAAUCUACUCUGUCGUGGGGGAUAACGUAGGGAAACUUACGCUAAUACCGCAUACGACCUACGGGUGAAAGCAGGGGAUCUUCGGACCUUGCGCGAUUGAAUGAGCCGAUGUAGGAUUAGCUAGUUGGCGGGGUAAAGGCCCACCAAGGCGACGAGCCGUAGCUGGUCGGAGGGGAUGAUCAGCCACACUGGAACUGAGACACGGUCCAGACUCCUACGGGAGGCAGCAGUGGGGAAUAUUGGACAAUGGGCGCAAGCCUGAUCCAGCCAUACCGCGUGGGUGAAGAAGGCCUUCGGGUUGUAAAGCCCUUUUGUUGGGAAAGAAAUCCAGCUGGCUAAUACCCGGUUGGGAUGACGGUACCCAAAGAAUAAGCACCGGCUAACUUCGUGCCAGCCGCCGCAGUAA